Molecule: ribosomal RNA, 404 nt
Filed under: uncultured bacterium
Lineage: Bacteria
Description: bacterial SSU rRNA
Rfam family: Bacterial small subunit ribosomal RNA
Source: RNAcentral
AAUCAACGCUGGCGGCGUGCCUAACACAUGCAAGUCGAGCGCGAAAGGGGAGCAAUCCCCAAGUAGAGCGGCGAACGGGUGAGUAACGCGUGGGUAAUCUGCCUCCGAGUGGGGAACAACACCGGGAAACUGGUGCUAAUACCGCAUGACAUCGUUGGACCUUCGGAUCUGACGAUCAAAGCCGGGGACCGCAAGGCCUGGCGCUUGGAGAGGAGCCCGCGUCCGAUUAGCAGUUGGUGGGGUAAUGGCCCACCAAGGCUACGAUCGUAGCCGGCCUGAGAGGGCGACGGCCACACUGGGACUGAGACACGGCCCAGACUCCUACGGGAGGCAGCAGUGGGGAAUUUUUCGCAAUGGGCGAAAGCCUGACGAAGCAACGCCGCGUGGAGGAUGAAGGCCUCGGU